RNAcentral lists this ribosomal RNA (468 nucleotides) under uncultured bacterium. Its description in RNAcentral is "partial 16S ribosomal RNA". It matches the Rfam family "Bacterial small subunit ribosomal RNA", at positions 28 to 507 of the family's 1533-position model. The record is from RNAcentral.
GACGAACGCUGGCGGCGUGCUUAACACAUGCAAGUCGAACGGAAAGGCCCUGCUUUUGUGGGGUGCUCGAGUGGCGAACGGGUGAGUAACACGUGAGUAACCUGCCCUUGACUUUGUGAUAACUUCAGGAAACUGGGGCUAAUACCGGAUAGGAGCUCCUGCUGCAUGUUGGGGGUUGGAAAGUUUCGGCGGUUGGGGCUGGACUCGCGGCUUAUCAGCUUGUUUGUGGGGUAGUGGCUUACCAAGGCUUUGACGGGUAGCCGGCCUGAGAGGGUGACCGGGCACAUUGGGACUGAGAUACGGCGCAGACUGCUACGAGAGGCAGUAGUGGAGAAUAUUGCACAAUGGGCGGAAGCCUGAUGCAGCAACGCCGCGUGCGGGAUGACGGCCUUCGGGUUGUAAACCGCUUUCGCCUGUGACGAAGCGGGAGUGACGGUAAUGGGUAAAGAAGCACCGGCUAACUACGUG